GGAGGCGGAGCCGGAGGAGUCAGGGCGGGGCCGGAGGCGCCUGGCGCUUCCUUUUAAUCAGCGGGUUGUAGGUUCAAGUCCUACACGUCCCACCA
RNAcentral lists this transfer RNA (95 nucleotides) under Deinococcus metalli. Its description in RNAcentral is "tRNA-OTHER". Lineage: Bacteria; Thermotogati; Deinococcota; Deinococci; Deinococcales; Deinococcaceae. The record is from RNAcentral.